RNAcentral lists this ribosomal RNA (431 nucleotides) under uncultured Paracoccaceae bacterium. RNAcentral's name for it is "bacterial SSU rRNA". It matches the Rfam family "Bacterial small subunit ribosomal RNA", at positions 29 to 505 of the family's 1533-position model. Lineage: Bacteria; Pseudomonadati; Pseudomonadota; Alphaproteobacteria; Rhodobacterales; Paracoccaceae. The record is from RNAcentral.
AACGAACGCUGGCGGCAGGCCUAACACAUGCAAGUCGAGCGCCUAGUUUACUAGGAGCGGCGGACGGGUGAGUAACACGUGGGAAUAUGCCCUAUAGUACGGAAUAGCCUUUGGAAACGGAGAGUAAUACCGUAUACGCCCUUUGGGGGAAAGAUUUAUCGCUAUAGGAUUAGCCCGCGUUAGAUUAGGUAGUUGGUGGGGUAAUGGCCUACCAAGCCUACGAUCUAUAGCUGGUUUGAGAGGAUGAUCAGCCACACUGGGACUGAGACACGGCCCAGACUCCUACGGGAGGCAGCAGUGAGGAAUAUUGGACAAUGGGCGCAAGCCUGAUCCAGCCAUGCCGCGUGAGUGAAGAAGGCCUUAGGGUCGUAAAGCUCUUUCGCUAGGGAAGAUAAUGACGGUACCUAGUAAAGAAACCCCGGCUAACUCCG